AAAGUUUGUUGUGCAGGGGCCUUUGAAAACAGUAUGCUGAGAAUAGAUAGGGCUCAAGGACAGUAUCUCCAAUUGAACUUUUAAUGAACUCCCGUAGGCGCCAAGAAGGCGGGCAGAUAAGGAAGAGCAUAGAAACAACUGAGUAGAAGGUACAUCUGGGAAAAGAAAGUUUGUUUUGCAUUGCAUUCUUUCUGCUGACGUGGGGUUUAUGGAGUAUAAAUAAAGUGAGGCGGAGGCUCUGAGCGCAGCCGCCAUGUUCUCUGUGUGUCUUUGUCUUUUGUGUGUUCUUUCAUUCUCCACCACCCCUGGCACGGACCCCAACAUUGUUGCAUGGAAGCUGUUGAUUUGAGGAAUUUGAAGGUUUCUGGAAGAAGGAUUUGGAAAAUUUGAAGUGAACCUCUUUUGGGAAUUAAAAGUGCUAGGUCCCUUCUCAUGGGAUCGAAUAGCAGAGUCCUGGCUACGGGUUCAAAUGCCCUGCUGAAAUCCUCAGACAAUUCCAACAUCCACAAAGCUACGAAAGGAGCAAUGCCUCUGAGAACCUUGGAAAGGGGAAAGGGAGCAAUGUCAUCUGCACUCAGUCAUGGAGGAAACAGCUGGACAAGUCAGCACAGGGAGGUGGUGACCGGUAGAGGAGACUUGGAGUUCUUCAGGUACCUGGAGAUCACUGAAUACUGGCCUUCCAGACCCCUUUAUACCAGGUUCUCUAUCCUGAGGGAAAUGGCCUGCCUGAAAGGGACUAAAUGA
This 744-nucleotide long non-coding RNA is filed under the name Macaca mulatta (Rhesus monkey). RNAcentral's name for it is "lncRNA (ENSMMUG00000059209.1)". The record is from RNAcentral. Lineage: Eukaryota; Metazoa; Chordata; Mammalia; Primates; Cercopithecidae.